Molecule: ribosomal RNA, 405 nt
Filed under: uncultured bacterium
Lineage: Bacteria
Description: bacterial SSU rRNA
Rfam family: Bacterial small subunit ribosomal RNA
Source: RNAcentral
CAGCAGCCGCGGUAAUACGAAGGUGGCAAGCGUUAUUCGGAUUUACUGGGCGUACAGGGAGCGUAGGCGGUUUGGUAAGCCCUCUGUGAAAUCUUCAGGCUUAACCUGGAAAAGUCGGAGGGGACUGCCGGGCUAGAGGACGGGAGAGGAGCGCGGAAUUCCCGGUGUAGCGGUGAAAUGCGUAGAGAUCGGGAGGAAGGCCGGUGGCGAAGGCGGCGCUCUGGAACGUUUCUGACGCUGAGGCUCGAAAGCGUGGGGAGCAAACAGGAUUAGAUACCCUGGUAGUCCACGCCUUAAACUAUGAAUACUAAGUGUCGGCGGGUUACCGCCGGUGCCGCAGCUAACGCAUUAAGUAUUCCGCCUGGGAAGUACGGCCGCAAGGUUGAAACUUAAAGGAAUUGACGG